GGUCCUACGACAGGAGAGACCAAAGGCAUGGCAGGCAAGAAAUUCCAGGACCCAUUAGAAGUCAUGUGGCAAAUGCUGAAGGAAUGUCUGCAGAGAAGGCAAGAAAUGAAAGGAGAGCCUGUGCAGAAGGAAGCACUUCCAGGAGGAAGCAGUGGUUCUGUGCCAGCCUCUGCUGCAGGAAGGGAGGCCAUGCCAGGCACAGGCACAGGAGAUGAGGUUGCUGGGAAGGCUUCUCCAUCAGCUUGGAUGAAUAAAGUUUUGAAGCCCUUGGAGCCUCCUGCAGGUAUGU
Long non-coding RNA from Passer domesticus (house sparrow), 289 nucleotides. RefSeq lists it as uncharacterized. NCBI's taxonomy places the organism in Eukaryota, Metazoa, Chordata, Aves, Passeriformes, Passeridae. The transcript is spliced from 3 exons. The record is from RefSeq and is a predicted model, not a curated record.